RNAcentral lists this ribosomal RNA (492 nucleotides) under uncultured bacterium. Its description in RNAcentral is "partial 16S ribosomal RNA". It matches the Rfam family "Bacterial small subunit ribosomal RNA", at positions 28 to 507 of the family's 1533-position model. The record is from RNAcentral.
GGUGAACGCUGGCGGUAGGCCUAACACAUGCAAGUCGAACGGCAGCACAGUAAGAGCUUGCUCUUACGGGUGGCGAGUGGCGGACGGGUGAGGAAUACAUCGGAAUCUACUUUUUCGUGGGGGAUAACGUAGGGAAACUUACUCUAAUACCGCAUACGACCUACGGGUGAAAGCAGUGGAUCUUCGGACCUUGCGCGAUUGAAUGAGCCGAUGUCGGAUUAGCUAGUUGGCGGGGUAAAGGCCCACCAAGGCGACGAUCCGUAGCUGGUCUGAGUGGAUGGUCAGCCACACUGGAACUGCGACACGGUCCAGACUCCUACGGGAGGCAGCAGUGGGGAAUAUUGGACAAUGGGCGCAAGCCUGAUCCAGCCAUACCGCGUGGGUGAAGAAGGCCUUCGGGUUGUAAAGCCCUUUUGUUGGGAAAGAAAAGCAGCAGGUUAAUACCCCGCUGUUCUGACGGUACCCAAAGAAUAAGCACCGGCUAACUUCGUG